GGGUCCUCAGUCGACGAUCUACGGGAGGCAGCAGCAGGGAAUAUUGCACAAUGGGCGAAAGCCUGAUGCAGCGACGCCGCGUGCGGGAUGAAGGCCUUCGGGUUGUAAACCGCUUUCAGGAGGGACGAAAAUGACGGUACCUCCAGAAAAAGGCCCGGCCAACUACGUGCCAGCAGCCGCGGUAACACGUAGGGGCCAAACGUUGUCCGGAUUUAUUGGGCGUAAAGGGCUCGUAGGCGGUUUGACAAGUCGGUCGUGAAAGCCCGGGGCUCAACCCCGGGACGCCGGUCGAAACUGUCAUGACUAGGGUCCGGUAGAGGUGAGUGGAAUUCUCAGUGUAGCGGUGAAAUGCGCAGAUAUUGAGAGGAACACCAGUAGCGAAGGCGGCUCACUGGGCCGGUACCGACGCUGAUGAGCGAAAGCGUGGGGAGCAAACAGGAUUAGAUACCCUGGUAGUCCACGCCGUAAACGAUGAGAACUAGAUGUCGGGAGGGUUUAGCCUUUCGGUGUCGCAGCUAACGCGUUAAGUUCUCCGCCUGGGGAGUACGCCGGCAACGGUAAAACUCAAAGGAAUUGACGG
RNAcentral lists this ribosomal RNA (580 nucleotides) under uncultured Acidobacteriota bacterium. Its description in RNAcentral is "bacterial SSU rRNA". It matches the Rfam family "Bacterial small subunit ribosomal RNA", at positions 321 to 916 of the family's 1533-position model. The record is from RNAcentral. Lineage: Bacteria; Pseudomonadati; Acidobacteriota.